GAUGAACGCUGGCGGCAUGCUUUACACAUGCAAGUCGGACGGGAAGUGGUGUUUCCAGUGGCGGACGGGUGGGUAACGCGUAAGAACCUGCCCUUGGGAGGGGAACAACAGCUGGAAACGGCUGCUAAUACCCCGUAGGCUGAGGAGCGAAAGGAGGAAUCCGCCCAAGGAGGGGCUCGCGUCUGAUUAGCUAGUUGGUGAGGUAAUAGCUUACCAAGGCCGUGAUCAGUAGCUGGUCCGAGAGGAUGAUCAGCCACACUGGGACUGAGACAAGGCCCAGACUCCUACGGGAGGCAGCAGUGGGGAAUGUUCCGCAAUGGGCGAAAGCCUGACGGAGCAAUGCCGCGUGGAGGUAAAAGGCCUACGGGUCAUGAACUUCUUUUCCUGGAGAAGAAACAAUGACGGUAUCUGGGGAAUAAGCAUCGGCUAACUCUGUG
RNAcentral lists this ribosomal RNA (437 nucleotides) under uncultured bacterium. RNAcentral describes it as "partial 16S ribosomal RNA". It matches the Rfam family "Bacterial small subunit ribosomal RNA", at positions 28 to 507 of the family's 1533-position model. The record is from RNAcentral.